This 429-nucleotide ribosomal RNA is filed under the name uncultured archaeon. Its description in RNAcentral is "bacterial SSU rRNA". It matches the Rfam family "Archaeal small subunit ribosomal RNA", at positions 474 to 903 of the family's 1478-position model. The record is from RNAcentral.
AACCAGCUCUUCAAGUGGUCGGGAUAAUUAUUGGGCUUAAAGUGUCCGUAGCCGGUUUGGUAAGUUCCUGGUAAAAUCGGGUAGCUUAACUAUCUAUAUGCUAGGAAUACUGCUAUACUAGAGGGCGGGAGAGGUCUGAGGUACUACAGGGGUAGGGGUGAAAUCUUGUAAUCCUUGUAGGACCACCAGUGGCGAAGGCGUCAGACUGGAACGCGCCUGACGGUGAGGGACGAAAGCCAGGGGAGCGAACCGGAUUAGAUACCCGGGUAGUCCUGGCUGUAAACGAUGCAUACUAGGUGAUGGCACGGCCAUGAGCCGUGUCAGUGCCGUAGGGAAACCGUUAAGUGUGCCGCCUGGGAAGUACGGUCGCAAGGCUAAAACUUAAAGGAAUUGGCGGGGGAGCACCACAAGGGGUGAAGCCUGCGGUUC